AUACGGAGGGUGCGAGCGUUGUCCGGAAUCACUGGGCGUAAAGGGCGCGUAGGCGGUCUGCUAAGCGUGUGGUGAAAGCUCGGGGCUCAACCCCGAGUCUGCCAUGCGAACUGGUGGACUAGAGCACUGUAGAGGCAGGUGGAAUUCCGGGUGUAGCGGUGGAAUGCGUAGGGAUCCGGAAGAACACCAGUGGCGAAGGCGGCCUGCUGGGCAGUAGCUGACGCUGAGGCGCGAUAGCGUGGGGAGC
Molecule: ribosomal RNA, 247 nt
Filed under: uncultured bacterium
Lineage: Bacteria
Description: partial 16S ribosomal RNA
Rfam family: Bacterial small subunit ribosomal RNA
Source: RNAcentral